UUGAUCGUCAAUAGGUUUUACUAGAGUACUAUGAAUAAAAUUUAAAACUCAAAGGGCUUGGCGGUGCUCUAGACUUUUCAGGGGAACCUGUCUCGUAAUCGACAUUCCGCGCAUUAACCUUACCUUCUCUCAGUAUGUAUACCGUCGUCGUCAGGUAACUUUUAAAAACGAAGAAGUUAGCGAGCUUAGACGUCAGAUCAAGGUGCAGCCUAUAAGAAGGCGAGGAUGGGUUACAAUUAAAACUUAUAAUUACGGAAAUAAACUUUAGAAGGCGGACUUGAAAGUAAAAAUUAGUAUUUAGAUUUUUUGAAUUAAGCUCUGGGGCG
Molecule: ribosomal RNA, 326 nt
Filed under: Peasiella habei
Lineage: Eukaryota; Metazoa; Mollusca; Gastropoda; Littorinimorpha; Littorinidae
Description: partial 12S ribosomal RNA
Source: RNAcentral